This 451-nucleotide ribosomal RNA is filed under the name uncultured bacterium. RNAcentral's name for it is "partial 16S ribosomal RNA". It matches the Rfam family "Bacterial small subunit ribosomal RNA", at positions 28 to 507 of the family's 1533-position model. The record is from RNAcentral.
GAUGAACGCUGGCGGCGUGCCUAACACAUGCAAGUCGAGCGGCAGCGCGGGGUGCUUGCUCCCUGGCGGCGAGCGGCGGACGGCUGAGUAACGCGUGGGAACGUGCCCUAAAGUGAGGAAUAACUGCCCGAAAGGGUAGCUAAUACCGCAUAAAAUCUUCGGAUCAAAGGAUUUAUUCGCUUUGGGAGCGUUUCGCGUCGGUUAAGGAAGUUGGUGUGGUACUCGCACACCAAGCUGACGAUCCGUAGAUGGGCUGAGAGGAUGACCAGCCAGACUGGAACUGAGACACGGUCCAGACUCCUACGGGAGGGAGCAGUGAGGGAUCGUCCACAAUGGGCGAAAGCCUGAUGGAGCAACGCCGCGUGCAGGACGAUGGCCUUCGGGUUGUAAAGUGCUUUUAUAAGUGAGGAAUAUGACGGUACCUUAUGAAUAAGGAUCGGCUAACUACGUG